AUCAAUUAAAAUCCAAAUAAUAAACCACGCUCGGCAACAAUUUUACUGAUUAAUCAUCGAUGGCUGAUGAAGCUAAAGCCAAAGGCAACGCCGCUUUCGCCGCCGGCAACUAUUCUGACGCGAUCAAGCACUUCUCCGACGCGAUCACCUUGUCUCCGGCCAAUCAUGUUCUCUACUCCAACCGAUCGGCUGCUUACGCUUCGAUUAACAAUUUCUCCGAAGCUUUAGUGGAUGCGAAAAAAACGGUGGAGAUCAAACCGGACUGGGCUAAGGGAUACUCUCGGCUCGGCUCGGCUCAUCUCGGACUCCACAAUUAUGUCGAAGCUAUCGAGGCGUACAAGAAAGGUCUUGAAUUGGAUCCGAAUAAUGAGGCUUUGAAAUCCGGGUUAUCCGACGCGGAGACCCGGGUUAGGACCCGACCCGGUUUUGGCAAUCCGACCCGGCCCGGGGCGAGUCCGUUCGGGGACGCGUUCGGGCCGGAGAUGUGGGCGAAAUUGACGGCGGAUCCGACGACGAGAGCGUUCCUCCAGCAGCCUGAUUUCGUGAACAUGAUGAAAGAGCUUCAGAAGAACCCGAGCAAUUUGAAUUUGUACUUGAAGGAUCCCAGGGUUAUGCAAGCGCUAGGAGUUUUGCUUAAUAUCAAGCUUUCGACACGAGGAAGUGAUGAUAAGGGUGUAGAGAUGUAUGACGUAUCCUCGGAGAGGAAGAGGCCUGCGGAGGAGGAACCGGUGAAUGUGAAGGAGAAGAAGCGCGAGGCGGAGCCAAUGCAGGAGGAGGUGGAGGUUUCAGAGGAGGAGAGGGAGAAAAAGGAGAGGAAGGAGAAGGCGCGGAAGGCGAAAGAGGAGGGUAAUGUGGCGUAUAAGAAGAAGGAUUUCGAGACGGCGAUUAGGUGUUAUAGUGAGGCGAUUGAGUUGGAUGAUGAGGAUAUUUCGUUUGUUACUAAUAGGGCUGCGGUUUAUCUGGAGAUGGGGAAGGUAUGUUGCUAAUGCUUCAAUCUUUAUUUAUACAUUAUGUAUUAAAAAUUGUACAGCAUGUUUUUGUUGAAUGUGUUUUGGUGCUAUCCUUUACUUGAUAUUGAGAUAAUUCAAGUUAAUAUAAGUUCCACAGGUUAAUUUGAUGUUUAUUUUGCGAUUGUGAUGCCUGUUGUCUUUAGCGUAGGAUUAUUUUCUCUUCUGUUGUGUUCAUGUAUGCAGAGGUGUAAUUUAGGAUAAUGGUAAAAGUAGCUGAAUUUUAAAAGGUUAGGAAUGUUGGGGAAGAAUUAUAAUUUAGCAUGACUUUUACAGGGACCAUCCUGAUAUACAAGUUUUUCUUUGUAGCUAGAUUACGACAUAACAUAUGAGUAGGUCAUUUGCAAAAGAAGUUGAUGCUUUUGAUCGCUUUACUACAUAAUGAAAAUUUUGGAUCCAAUUCUUUUGUCUUAUAUAUAUGAUUAAGUUGUGCAUUUUAUUUUUGUUUGAUUAUUGUCUACUAUUAUAUUAUAUAUAUAUUUAUAUGCUAUAUAUCUUAUUUUUCAAUAUGACAUAUUCAUUUAUGUGCUGAUAUUAGAGCAUAUAUUUCACUUUACAAUUAAGAUCUGUAUCUAACUAGUUGGUAACUAAUGCCACCAGUUUGAGGAGUGCAUUAAAGAUUGUGACACUGCUGUUGAAAGGGGAAGAGAACUCAGAUCAGACUUCAAGAUGGUUGCAAAGGCUUUGACAAGGAAAGGAACUGCCUUGGUGAAAAUGGCUAAAUGCUCCAAGGACUACGAACCUGCUAUUGAGACAUUUCAGAAAGCUUUGACAGAGCAUCGUAACCCAGAUACUCUAAAAAAACUUAAUGAUGCUGAGAAAGCAAAGAAAGAUCUAGAGCAACAGGAGUACUUUGAUCCGAAAAUAGCAGACGAGGAGCGUGAGAAAGGUACUAUUAUAUUUCUGUUUACCGUGGGGUUACUCACAGUAUACUACUUUUAAUUAUGAUCUGUUGCAUGUGGUUAACGGAUUACAUGUUUUACCAGGCAACGAAUUUUUCAAACAGCAGAAGUAUCCUGAAGCAAUUAAGCAGUACACAGAAUCACUGAGAAGAAAUCCAAAGGAUCACAAGGUUUGUCAUAACGAAUUCCAUUAUUACUCUUGUUCAUGAGUUAUGGAGUAUGUGAAAUAAUUUUGAUGUAUGUUUGACCCCAACAUGUUACUGAUUUGUGCAGGCUUACAGUAACAGAGCAGCUUGCUAUACAAAACUUGGCGCACUGCCUGAGGGAUUGAAGGAUGCAGAAAAGUGUAUUGAGCUUGAUCCCACAUUUGCCAAGGGAUAUACCAGAAAAGGUGCUGCACAGUUUCUCAUGAAAGAUUAUGAUAAAGCUUUGGAAACAUAUCAAGCAGGGUUGAAACACGAUCCACACAACCAAGAAUUGUUGGAUGGUGUUAAGAGGUAUAUUAUCGUAUUUGGCUAUUGAUGAAAGUGCAUCAUCAUUUUUUAACUGUAUUGAACAUUUACUGAUUGCUGCAUCAAUUGUUUCCCAGGUGUGUCGCUCAAAUUAAUAAGGCCAGCCGCGGUGAUUUAACUCCUGAGGAAUUGAAGGAGCGGCAGGUAUAUGCCUAAUUUUGUUAUGUUACACAGAUUGUGCAUGUCUGUUUUUUAUAAAUUAGGAAUCUCAUGUCAAUAUUUAAAAAUUGGGUUAAUAAUCAAGUGAGUCACCAAAUUGGGCUUGAUAUAUCAAGUUGGUCACCGAACUCAAAACGGUCUCAAAUUGGUCACUCAAGUUAGUUAUAUGUAUCUGUAAAUAUGAAUUCAAAGAGUAAAGAUAUUAUUUAUAGAGGUUUAAAUAUUAUUUUUGAAUGUUACCACAACUAAAUACAAGAUUAUGACUUCUCGUAUUUAUGAAAAUAUAUUUAGAUUUUAUCAAGUUUAUUUACUAUUUAUUUUUUAUUAUAUAGUUAUUUUCUUUAUUUUAAUUAUAAAUAUAUAAUAAAUAAACUUGAUAAAUCUGAAUAUAUUACCAUAAAUAUCAGAAGUCAUGAUCUUAUACUUAGUUCUGGUAACAUUCAAAAAUAAUAUGUAAACCUCUAUAAAUAAUAUAUUUACCCCUUCAACUUAUAUUUACAGAUACAUAUAACUUGACUUGAGUGAUCAAUUUGACACCGUUUUGAGUUCAGUGACCAACUUGAUAUUUUGAGCCCACUCUAUAAUAAAAAAAUUAAAAAAUAAUAGAGCUCGAGCUCGGCUCGAUAAAACAUCCAAAUAGCUCGACCUUUUUCUACAAUACGAUCACCCCAUAGGUUUAAAAAGACUGGUUUAGAUAGCAGUGCAAUACUUUUUCUUUAUGAAACCUUUGCACUCUUCUGAGAAUAUGAGAACUGACUUGGAAUUGUAACAUGCAAAGGUGUUUGUAGUAAGCAAAUAGGACAUGAAAUUGCAACUCGUAAGUGAUAAAAGUUUUUUUUUUUUUUUAAACACGUAAGUGAUAAAAGUUGAUUAUAUGCGAGAUGCAUCUUCCAUAUUUCCCGCCUAAAAUUUUCUCUUGUCAGGAUUUGCCCACUUAAAUUUUAGCAUAGAGAACCUAUUUUACAAAAUUUAAGCGAACAUUUUUAUUUUUUUCAGAAAAGAAGCUAAUCCAAUAUAUUUCUCUUAACCAUGGUUUUUUGUUAAUGAUCUUAACGCCGAUUUUUUUUCAUUAUUACAUUAAAAAUUAGAUUAAAAUUUUAUAAUAUAAAAUAAUAUCUAAACAUAAAGAAUUCAAUAUACAAAAUUUGUUGAUUAUUAAUCGAACGAGAGCUUCCACAAUACUUACCAAUAAAUCCAUCUUAUUUCCAAAUUUCGAUACUAUUUAAGUAAUCCAAUCAUGUAAAUUUUAAUAUAUUUUAUAUGAGAUCAAUACUUAUAUCUUAUUGAUAUAAUACUACAUAUGAAUUCCUGUUGAAUUUAAAACUAAAUUUUACUAUUAUCACAAUUUAUAAUUUUCUUAUAAUUUCAACUACAUAUAGAUUUGUUAUUUCUUCAUAUUAAUAUUUUCAUUAUUAAGCGCAUUCAUCGUUAGAAAAUUUAAUUUUAAUAUUAUAUCAAUAUAAUUUUUGUAUAUAAAUAACCUUACAAACUUAUCACUGUGCUUUCUCUCCCUAGAACAUUCUUCUCUCUAUUCUCUUUGUUUAGUAGUUUUACCUUUUCCAAUUUGAAUUCUAAUUCCAAAAUCUAAACACAACUAGAACAUUCCAGAAAUAAAACCCUCUAGCCCCUCAGUCCCUCACUAUAAAAACACUUAUCUUCAUCUUCCCCACGAAAUCAAUUAAAAUCCAAAUAAUAAACCACGCUCGGCAACAAUUUUACUGAUUAAUCAUCGAUGGCUGAUGAAGCUAAAGCCAAAGGCAACGCCGCUUUCGCCGCCGGCAACUAUUCUGACGCGAUCAAGCACUUCUCCGACGCGAUCACCUUGUCUCCGGCCAAUCAUGUUCUCUACUCCAACCGAUCGGCUGCUUACGCUUCGAUUAACAAUUUCUCCGAAGCUUUAGUGGAUGCGAAAAAAACGGUGGAGAUCAAACCGGACUGGGCUAAGGGAUACUCUCGGCUCGGCUCGGCUC
This 4550-nucleotide long non-coding RNA is filed under the name Daucus carota (carrot). Its description in RNAcentral is "long non-coding RNA (DCAR_LNC001599)". The record is from RNAcentral. Lineage: Eukaryota; Viridiplantae; Streptophyta; Magnoliopsida; Apiales; Apiaceae.